RNAcentral lists this ribosomal RNA (254 nucleotides) under uncultured bacterium. Its description in RNAcentral is "partial 16S ribosomal RNA". It matches the Rfam family "Bacterial small subunit ribosomal RNA", at positions 524 to 777 of the family's 1533-position model. The record is from RNAcentral.
GACAGAGGUGCCGAGCGUUAGGCGGAAUCACUGGGCUUAAAGCGUGUGUAGGUGGAUGCCUAAGUACCUUGUGAAAUCCCACGGCUUAACCGUGGAACUGCUUGGUAUACUGGGUGUCUUGAGCCAGCUAGGGGCUACCGGAACAAAUGGUGGAGCGGUGAAAUGCGUAGAUAUCAUUUGGAACGCCAAUGGUGAAAACAGGUAGCUGGGGCUGUGCUGACACUGAGACACGAAAGCCAGGGGAGCGAACGGGG